RNAcentral lists this ribosomal RNA (186 nucleotides) under uncultured bacterium. Its description in RNAcentral is "partial 16S ribosomal RNA". It matches the Rfam family "Bacterial small subunit ribosomal RNA", at positions 329 to 507 of the family's 1533-position model. The record is from RNAcentral.
CUAGAGAUUCCUACGGGAGGCAGCAGUGGGGAAUAUUGCACAAUGGGCGCAAGCCUGAUGCAGCCAUGCCGCGUGUGUGAAGAAGGCCUUCGGGUUGUAAAGCACUUUCAGUCGUGAGGAAGGUGGUGUAGUUAAUAGCUGCAUUAUUUGACGUUAGCGACAGAAGAAGCACCGGCUAACUCCGUG